RNAcentral lists this long non-coding RNA (1124 nucleotides) under Phascolarctos cinereus (koala). RNAcentral describes it as "lncRNA (ENSPCIG00000037109.1)". The record is from RNAcentral. Lineage: Eukaryota; Metazoa; Chordata; Mammalia; Diprotodontia; Phascolarctidae.
UGCCUUUACUGCAACCAAAGACAACACUUUGAAAUUUCUUUCAAUGGAUUUUUUUUGUACUUGAGAGAUUGUACUGGGAGAAUAGAAUAUUUCUAUUAGUUGAAUAUUCUCCAAUGCCUCAGUCCCAGCCCCCUCACCUUUGAGAACGUGUUCAAAGAGGCUCUAGUGUAUUUGUGUGUGUCUGACAAAGCAGAAGCAAAGAGUAGGCGCUCCACUCGGGAUAAUGUAAAAGUUUGUCUCAGCCAAAGCAUUCUGAAAUCCAACACCAUCUCAGAAUCCUGGAUCGCUCACAGCUGGCACCAGAGAGACCCGGCCAAGCCCUGCCCCGCACCAGGCAAGUACUGCUUCUCACCCCACCCCCUUAAACUCUGUGUUGCUAAUGGGGGGGGCAAAAAGGGCUGCAUCCUCUAUCUCUAUUUCCUUAGAAUGCCGCUGCCUUCCGAUCGUAGAAGGAUUGUAGAGGGAACUUUUUUUAUUUUUUUUUUCUUUUGAUACCAAUUCGGGUUGCUCUUGUCUCGGGUCAGUGUCUGGGGAGUCUGAAUGGUGGGGGACUGACUCAGUUAUACAGUAUUUUUACUGCUUUCAGUCUGUGUAAUUUAAUGGGUAUUAAAGUAAAGCUCCACAUAUCGGUCCUCUAGAUGUGAGAGUGUUACGGUAGCAUCUGUCCAGAUUCAAAACACGCACACAGAUACAGACACACACCCUAUACAACAUCUGUUGAUGCAUUAUACACGUAGAGCCAUACGUUUUGCUAUACAUACAGAUGCAAUGAAGAUAUAAACUUCUACUAAUUUACUGAGCAGGAUUUGCAGUGGUGACUAUGAGGGUGCCAGGUCGUCAGCAAAGAAGGAUAAACAGGAGAAUGCUCUGUUCAGUCACCUGUCCUGUUUGUUAUGUGACCACCUAAUGGAAGAGAUCGAUGGUAGCUUGCUUUUAUCUGGGUGAUAGUGUCAACAGAUUAAAAGAACUUCUAUCAGACCCACCCCAGGAACUGAGAAAAGAGCUGCAAUGAGCAGUGGGGGAGAGAAACUCAGACUAUCCUGUGUCAGAGCCAGAAGCCCCUUCUACAUUCUUCCUUUGUUGAAGUUGUAAUGAAGGGUGGGAAGGUUGAAAGGGAUAUUAAA